Fukomys damarensis (Damara mole-rat) is the source of this 735-nucleotide long non-coding RNA. RefSeq lists it as uncharacterized. The record is from RefSeq and is a predicted model, not a curated record. The transcript has 5 exons. NCBI's taxonomy places the organism in Eukaryota, Metazoa, Chordata, Mammalia, Rodentia, Bathyergidae.
AACAGCCGCAGGGGACUAGGGCUGCUGAAGGCUGGAGAGACAUUUUAUAGCCAGAAGCAACGUUUUUAAAUUUAGAAAAAGAAAACUAAAGCUGUAGGAACUACUUUAAAAACUCCAGAGAAGAGGAGAAAGAGGAGAGGGAGCGGGAGAGGGAGAGGGGAAGGAACUGUCUAAGAGUCUAUUGGGCUCUUAGGAGAGAAAAGCAACUUAGUAAGGAAAAAAACAAAGAGAAAAGUCUAACUUUUAAAUAACUUCUAGGAGGAGUGUGCUAGGAUCAAAGGGUUAACUGUUCCUGUGGGGCAGGAGCCUUAGACUGAAUCACAGGCAUCAUACACCCCAAGGAGUGAAAGGUGAAAAGCUCUACUGCUCCGGGCCAGCCUUGGUGUCAUCUUGAAGACUUAAAAGCAAAUAGUGUUUGGAAAGCAACUCUUCACACAUUUCCUUAUUUGACUACAGCUUUAUAAGUUCCGUGACUAAGCCAUGGAAAGUCUGAAAACAUGCAGGGGAUCCUGAGUGUCUUCCACAGCUGACCAGCUGCUGCGAAGGAACAUCUGGAGAGAGAAACACUCUCACCCAGACAGCGAGUCACCCCUAAAAAUGUCAACUACAUUACAUCUUCAAGAGAUUCUAGACCUUGCCUCCAAAUAUGGAGUGAUUACCUAUCAACCAGAAAAAUCUCCAGAUGACCCCAGAGCCUAGACGAUUCAGAAGCAUCUGAACUGCUAAAGAGAAAAA